Molecule: ribosomal RNA, 305 nt
Filed under: uncultured bacterium
Lineage: Bacteria
Description: bacterial SSU rRNA
Rfam family: Bacterial small subunit ribosomal RNA
Source: RNAcentral
ACAUUCCUACGGGACGCAGCAGUGAGGAAUGUUGGUCAAUGGGCGAGAGCCUGAACCAGCCACGUCGCGUGAGGGAAGACGGUCCUAUGGAUUGUAAACCUCUUUUGUCGGGGAGCAAAAAGGCCUCGUGAGGCCACAAGUGAGAGUACCCGAAGAAAAAGCAUCGGCUAACUACGUGCCAGCAGCCGCGGUAAUACGUAGGGAGCAAGCGUUAUCCGGAUUUAUUGGGUGUAAAGGGUGCGUAGACGGGAAAACAAGUUAGUUGUGAAAUCCCUCGGCUUAACUGAGGAACUGCAACUAAAACU